This 954-nucleotide ribosomal RNA is filed under the name Vreelandella titanicae. RNAcentral describes it as "bacterial SSU rRNA". It matches the Rfam family "Bacterial small subunit ribosomal RNA", at positions 398 to 1344 of the family's 1533-position model. Lineage: Bacteria; Pseudomonadati; Pseudomonadota; Gammaproteobacteria; Oceanospirillales; Halomonadaceae. The record is from RNAcentral.
CGCGUGUGUGAAGAAGGCCCUCGGGUUGUAAAGCACUUUCAGCGAGGAAGAACGCCUAUCGGUUAAUACCCGGUAGGAAAGACAUCACUCGCAGAAGAAGCACCGGCUAACUCCGUGCCAGCAGCCGCGGUAAUACGGAGGGUGCAAGCGUUAAUCGGAAUUACUGGGCGUAAAGCGCGCGUAGGUGGCUUGAUAAGCCGGUUGUGAAAGCCCCGGGCUCAACCUGGGAACGGCAUCCGGAACUGUCAGGCUAGAGUGCAGGAGAGGAAGGUAGAAUUCCCGGUGUAGCGGUGAAAUGCGUAGAGAUCGGGAGGAAUACCAGUGGCGAAGGCGGCCUUCUGGACUGACACUGACACUGAGGUGCGAAAGCGUGGGUAGCAAACAGGAUUAGAUACCCUGGUAGUCCACGCCGUAAACGAUGUCGACCAGCCGUUGGGUGCCUAGAGCACUUUGUGGCGAAGUUAACGCGAUAAGUCGACCGCCUGGGGAGUACGGCCGCAAGGUUAAAACUCAAAUGAAUUGACGGGGGCCCGCACAAGCGGUGGAGCAUGUGGUUUAAUUCGAUGCAACGCGAAGAACCUUACCUACCCUUGACAUCUACAGAAGCCGGAAGAGAUUCUGGUGUGCCUUCGGGAACUGUAAGACAGGUGCUGCAUGGCUGUCGUCAGCUCGUGUUGUGAAAUGUUGGGUUAAGUCCCGUAACGAGCGCAACCCUUGUCCUUAUUUGCCAGCGAGUAAUGUCGGGAACUCUAAGGAGACUGCCGGUGACAAACCGGAGGAAGGUGGGGACGACGUCAAGUCAUCAUGGCCCUUACGGGUAGGGCUACACACGUGCUACAAUGGCCGGUACAAAGGGUUGCGAGCUCGCGAGAGUCAGCGAAUCCCUUAAAGCCGGUCUCAGUCCGGAUCGGAGUCUGCAACUCGACUCCGUGAAGUCGGAAUCGCUAGUAAUCG